Molecule: long non-coding RNA, 1459 nt
Organism: Neofelis nebulosa (Clouded leopard)
Lineage: Eukaryota; Metazoa; Chordata; Mammalia; Carnivora; Felidae
Exons: 5
Source: RefSeq, a predicted model, not a curated record
CUGGCACCCCAGCACAGGGGGGAUGUCAGCGGUGUUCCUGAGCAGCACUGCGUGGGGGAGAGAUGACUCCCGCUCGUGAACUCCCUGUGACCCGGCAGGACGGCGUGGGCCAGAAGUGCCAGUUUGGGAGGCAGAGCUCUGGACUUCCCAAAGUGUGAUGAGUCUUCCAACUUCCGUGUCCCGGGUGGAGACCUGGCCAUGUUGCCUCUGGAGAUGCUGUUGUUGGUUCCUAAGGGCUGGAAGAUCGUGCCCUGGCCCUGCUGCUCCCGGGGUGCGUGCCGUCUUCACCCCAAAACGUUGCUUCUAACGUGCUGGUGCAGAAGCAGGAAGGGAAGCGUCAUUAUGUUGUGCAGGAACUUUCAACUGGACUGUGCGCCCGCCAUAUUUGGCAAGGGGCAUCUGUGUGUGCGCGUGUGUGCGUGUGCGCGCGCGCGUGCACACUCAGAAUACUCGGCCAGCCCCCUCCCACCAGUCGCCUGUUUGAUAACGAGCGGAAAAAUGCUGAAUGCAUAGAAAAUCAACAACUUUUCUGGAACCUGUUAAAGAAUUGAACUCAUGGGACAAAUGGCCACUUCAAAAUCUGGGGACAAGUGAAUACUGAGAAAGACAACUGACAUCAGCUUAGCUGGGGCAGAAACCGUAGAAACACUUACGUGGUGAACCCAGAAGAAGCCAGAGGGCCGGGGAGCAGCCCACAUAGGACACAGAGCCAGGCCAGGGAAAAAGAGGGCAGCGCCUCGUGCUGGAGAGACUUUGGGGGAAAGCGCAUCGCUUCAGCUGACAGUGCAUAUCUUUGAACACAAGAUGUAUGAGGGGUAGUAGCUAUUUCUCACCACUCCCUGGAUUUUGAGGGGAACUUGCUUUUACCAUAUCGACGGCGUGGCCGGGGAUGCUUUUUGUGAGUCCUGCUUACUCAUUUUGGUGUCGGAGUGCAGUCAUCUUGGGCUUCCACUGCUCCUUCAUCAAUGCGGAGUAUUCCAAGAAAUGGAAAAUCUGGGAUCUAAACCCUGACGGAACCCCACGUGGGUUCUGAAAAUCUCUGCUUAUACGUCUCGGUGUCCAAGAAAACUUUGACAGAAGAAACAAUGUACUGCGUGUUCUACUCUCACCAUCGAGGAGAGAGAGACGUAAUGCCAGAACGGAUCUCAGUAACGAUGGGAUGUCCAGAAUCCAGUUCCAAGUGGCACCGAACUCCGUGCCUCAGUGUCCGUGUGGCUUUAAAAACAAAUCGCGAGUUUUCGACCACUGCCUCGACCACAGCGAGUCAGAGUCCCCACGACCUGGGUGUUUGAAGAGCUGCACACGUGGUUCUUCCUCCCUCGGUGACCUUGGUAGCUGGAAUCUGAAUCAGUGUGUUAACAACGGCGUGCCGUCCCAGACUCGAGAGCAUUCGGGCGAUCCAGACCGCAAACCCUUUCUCUCUCUCAGCCUAGCAGCGAAUACAGAGCUCUCCCUGGAC